GAUGAACGCUGGCGGCGUGCCUAAUACAUGCAAGUCGAGCGAACAGACGAGAGUGCUUGCACUCUCUGACGUUAGCGGCGGACGGGUGAGUAACACGUGGGUAACCUACCUAUAAGACUGGGAUAACUUCGGGAAACCGGAGCUAAUACCGGAUAAUAUUUAGCUUCGCAUGAAGCAAUAGUGAAAGACGGUUCUGCUGUCACUUAUAUAUGGACCCGCGGUGUAUUAGCUGGUUGGUGAGGUAACGGCUCACCAAGGCAACGAUACAUAGCCGACCUGAGAGGGUGAUCGGCCACACUGGGACUGAGACACGGCCCAGACUCCUACGGGAGGCAGCAGUAGGGAAUCUUCCGCAAUGGACGAAAGUCUGACGGAGCAAUGCCGCGUGAGUGAAGAAGGUUUUCGGAUCGUAAAACUCUGUUGUAAGGGAAGAACAAGUACGUUAGUAACUGAACGUACCUUGACGGUACCUUACCAGAAAGCCACGGCUAACUACGUG
RNAcentral lists this ribosomal RNA (499 nucleotides) under uncultured bacterium. RNAcentral describes it as "partial 16S ribosomal RNA". It matches the Rfam family "Bacterial small subunit ribosomal RNA", at positions 28 to 507 of the family's 1533-position model. The record is from RNAcentral.